This 489-nucleotide ribosomal RNA is filed under the name uncultured bacterium. RNAcentral describes it as "bacterial SSU rRNA". It matches the Rfam family "Bacterial small subunit ribosomal RNA", at positions 29 to 507 of the family's 1533-position model. The record is from RNAcentral.
AACGAACGCUGGCGGCAGGCUUAACACAUGCAAGUCGAGGGGCAUCACAUGAAGUAGCAAUACGGAUGGUGGCGACCGGCGCACGGGUGAGUAACACGUAUGCAACCUGCCUUCAACAAGGGGAUAACCCGUUGAAAGACGGACUAAUACCCUAUAACACAGGGGUCCCGCAUGGGAAUAUUUGUUAAAGGACAACCGGUUGAAGAUGGGCAUGCGUUCCAUUAGCUAGUUGGCGGGGUAACGGCCCACCAAGGCAACGAUGGAUAGGGGAACUGAGAGGUUUAUCCCCCACACUGGUACUGAGACACGGACCAGACUCCUACGGGAGGCAGCAGUGAGGAAUAUUGGUCAAUGGACGCAAGUCUGAACCAGCCACGUCGCGUGAAGGAAGACGGCCCUACGGGUUGUAAACUUCUUUAUACGGGAAUAAAGUGCCCCACGCGUGGGGUUUUGCAUGUACCGUAUGAAUAAGGAUCGGCUAACUCCGUG